CUUUCUCUCUCUCUCUCUCUGUCUCUCUCUCUCUCUCUCUCUCUCUAGACAUACACAUCCAUCACCACACACACACCAUAUGUGUCUCUGUCUCUGUGUGCUCUGUUUCCCCUGCUCUGUCUCUCUAUGGCGACCGGCCAUGGCGGUCAGCCAUUACCCUGUUCCUCUUCUAGGUCUCCCCAUUCUGCCGUGCCUUAUAAUAACCUUAUAGUCUUAUAUCUUAUGUCUCAGCAAUUUCUCUUUUCUUCUUUUUAAACAAAACAAUAACAAUAUGUAUUGUGAUGGUGGUGUAUGUGUGGUGAUGGUGGUGUAUGUGUGGUGAUGGUGGUGUGUCUGUGGUGAUGGUGGUGUAUGUGUGGUUAUGGUAGUAUGUGUGUGGUGAUGGUGGUGUAUGUGUGGUGUUGGUGGAUUAUGUUUGGUGAUUUUGGUAAAUGUAUUGUGAUGGUGGUGUAUGUGUGGUUAUGGUGGUGUAUGUGUGGUGAUGGUGGUGUGUAUGUGGUGAUGGUGGUGUGUGUGUGGUGAUGGUGGUGUGUGUGGUUAUUGUGUUGUAUGUGUGCUGUUGGUGGUGUUUGUGUGGUGAUGGUGGUGUAUGUGUGGUGAUGGUGGUGUGUAUGUUGUGAUGGUAGUGUUUGUGUGGUGAUGGUGGUGUGUAUGUGGUGAUGGUAUUGUUUGUGUGGUGAUGAUGGUGUGUAUGUGGUGAUGGUGGUGUGUGUGGUUAUGGUGGUGUAUGUAUGGUGAUCGUGCUGUAUGUGUGGUGUUGGUGGAUUAUGUGUGGUGAUUUUUGUAAAUGUAUUGUGA
RNAcentral lists this long non-coding RNA (798 nucleotides) under Cricetulus griseus (Chinese hamster). Its description in RNAcentral is "lncRNA (ENSCGRG00015035459.1)". Lineage: Eukaryota; Metazoa; Chordata; Mammalia; Rodentia; Cricetidae. The record is from RNAcentral.